CAAAACAAUUAAUUGAUAUGAUUCCAAAGACCAAGGAGGAGCUAUUUUCAUAUGAGAUAAACUGGAAUGUUUAUGACCAGCAUGCACUGCAUGAGAGAAUGAGACCCUGGAUUUCAAAGAAAAUUAUGGAGUUCUUGGGAGAAGAAGAGAAAACUCUGGUUGAUUACAUCGUAUCGAGUACUCAGGAACAUGUCAAGGCUUCCCAAAUGCUGGAGCUGUUGCAGUCUAUAUUAGAUGAGGAGGCAGAGAUGUUUGUGCUUAAGAUGUGGAGGAUGCUGAUAUUUGAAAUUAAAAAAGUGGAGACUGGUCUGGCUUUGCGUUCGAGAUCCUGAUCUAACAUUGAUGCCGUGCUGGCGGUUCAUGUGUUGCUCUUCGCUGGGUUAAAUAUCAACCCCGGACAACCUUUUUGGCCGCCCUCAAUGAAGAGCACUAUUGACAUUUGACAGUACCCUACUUCAUUGUCUACCAUAUGGAAUGAAGUCAUGACUCAUGUUCUUCACUACUUGUGGUAGCCCUUCCUUUUUCAAGUUUUAAACAUCCAUUUUCCCAUUUCUAUUCUAU
Molecule: long non-coding RNA, 561 nt
Organism: Hibiscus syriacus
Lineage: Eukaryota; Viridiplantae; Streptophyta; Magnoliopsida; Malvales; Malvaceae
Exons: 3
Source: RefSeq, a predicted model, not a curated record